UACGUAGGGUGCGAGCGUUGUCCGGAAUUAUUGGGCGUAAAGAGCUCGUAGGCGGUGUGUCACGUCGGCCGUGAAAACCUGCAGCUUAACUGUGGGCGUGCGGUCGAUACGGGCAUCACUGGAGUUCGGCAGGGGAGACUGGAAUUCCUGGUGUAGCGGUGAAAUGCGCAGAUAUCAGGAGGAACCCCGGUGGCGAAGGCGGGUCUCUGGGCCGAUACUGACGCUGAAGAGCGAAAGCGUGGGGAGCGAACAGG
Molecule: ribosomal RNA, 254 nt
Filed under: uncultured bacterium
Lineage: Bacteria
Description: partial 16S ribosomal RNA
Rfam family: Bacterial small subunit ribosomal RNA
Source: RNAcentral